This is a long non-coding RNA of Brassica rapa (field mustard), 5493 nucleotides long. RefSeq lists it as uncharacterized. The record is from RefSeq and is a predicted model, not a curated record. Lineage: Eukaryota; Viridiplantae; Streptophyta; Magnoliopsida; Brassicales; Brassicaceae.
AAGUAUAUAUUUUCUAAUAAUUAUCAACUAAUUAUAUUUAAUCAAUUCAAAUAUUCAUAAUUGUUGUUCCUUAAAAAUAUACAUAACUAUCUUAAAAUAUAGAUAAUAUAUUUUUGUGGAACAAUUUUCUUUAUAUAAAAACUUGUAUUUUCGGGGAAAGAAUGUAUAUUUUAUAUUUUCAAGGAAGAAAUAUAAGUGUGUAUAAUAGAAUUAUCUCUAAAUGUUAUUAUAGAGAAAAAUAUAAAGAUAAGUUGGAGAUCUUUAAAUAGAAAGAAAGACACAAAAUCAAAAAGAAGUUUGGGUGAAGUUAUAAGGAUUUGAUGGGAGAGGAGUCGUUCGGUCUUCAAAGAUGUAGGAGGAGCCUCUCGGUCCUUCAUGCCGAGAUGAAUCUUUGAGCAGUGACAUGUCUAUGUGGGAUGCAGAUUUCGAUUACCCAAAUUGAGACCAACUGCCCUGACUUAGUGCAUAUGUGGACUCGCCGGCCUUUUCCACGUAGCUUAACUAUUUUCAUCUAUUACGUUUCUAUUUUGAGUUGUUUACUCUUUUCCACAUUCACUAGGGCCUCACUGGUAUAACCGUAGCGGUUGUGAGAGUUUGCAGAUACGGGUGGUUGUAGUUUUAAAUGGUUUUAAAAGAUUUGUAUGACUCAUACUGCGUAUAGAAAUUGGUGCAUUUACGGAAUAUUUAUAACUGGUUAACCACCAAAUACAACAACGGUUAAAUAAUAAAUUAAUAAUAUUUACAUUUUAAAUAAUUAGAAAAAAUAUUAAACAUCAUAAUAUUAUAAUAAAUAUAAAAAUAUAAUUUAUAGAAAAUAUUUUUAUUUUAAAAAUAUAAAUUUAAGCAAAAAAUCUAUUUUGAAGGUUUUCAUAGAUUAGGGUCAUUUUAAACAUUUUUAGAUAUGUAUGAUUUUUUUUCAGAUCUAAAGACUAUAUAUUCUGACUUUAUUGAAGACUUCUUGAAAGACUUCAUGGCAUGCUUCACACGAGCAUACUUCUCAAGCAAACUUCUUGGAAAUAUUUUUAGAAGACUUCACGUGAAUGAAGCGGCAAACUAAAAUUUUAAAAGAAAUUUAACUGUGAAUUAGAAGACUUAUAAGGUAGUCAUCUAAUUCGGAGUCAAAUUUCAUUGAAAAAGUUAGUUGUCUCUUGUGGUUAGGAGACUCUUGUUUUGAUAGUUUAUAUAAUAUUGUAAAUAAUAUCAUCCACUUUAUCUCCGAUCUAUUAAAAAAAAUCUUCGUUUAAUGUUUUUGAUAAAAAAAAAUCUUUGUUUAAUGUUUAAUUCACUUAUUCAAGUUCUUGUAGUUAUAAUAGUAUUUCUUUUGUUACGAUUAUGGUUAUGCAAAUUAAAGGGGACAGUUAUAAUAGUAUAAAAGUUGACACAAGUUCAACACAACAAUAAGUUCAUAACACAAUAAUAUAAGUUUCAAAAUAUAACAAAUUACUUAACAAUAAAUUCAUAACACUAUAUAUAUAUAUAUAUAUAUAUUUAUUUAUAUAAAAAGACUCUGAAGUUACUUAAAUUUCAUGAAAGUUUAAAAUUAUAUCUUAUGAUCUAGUAAGACAUUAAACCACAUGACUUGAUAUUUUUGAAGUUAUUUAACAUCUUUAAAAGUUAAAAAAAAAACAUAUCUUGAAGUUACUUAUUAUUCUUGAAAAUACAAGUUUACAAAAACUAACAGAAAAGACUUCUCCAGAAAUCUUCGCUCAACAGAAUUUUUAAGAAGCAUACUCUUAUUUGCUAGAAAUAUUAACAAACAUGUAUGUUUGUAACCUCAUAAUUAUUAUCAAUUAAGUUACUAAUUUUAUUUAGGAACCCUAAUAUUGACUAAUACAAACGAAUUAACAAGAAGAAAAAAAUUAAAAAGUCAUUUUAAUUUUAUAGAAAAUAAAAAUUUAAUAAAUAUUGACGUAGAAAAUUUCUAAAGAAAUUUUUAUUUAGGUUAUUUUUGCAAUUAAAAUUUUACGAAAGAAAACUUCUUAAGAAGACUACUCUAAAGCAUAUUUCUUAAAAAGACUUCCUAUGUAAAUAUGGGCUUACUUUUAUAUUUGAAAAUUUUUCGAAAAUAUCAGAGAAGACUACUAAUGUAUGAUGAAAAUACCCAAAAAAAAUAUUUAUAUGGGAUAAAAUUUAACAAAUGAAAGUUUUAAAAAAAAUCAUUGGUUUGUUUUGCAUUUGACUUUUUGUUUUAAAUCAUAUUUGCAAAACGCUCAUUAAUGUAUGAUAAAAAUUAUGCGUAACUGUAAUGCAUACAUAAAGAUUGUUUUAUGUUAUGCAAAAACUGUGUUUUUUUUGUAAAUCGUUUUGCUGUAUAAUCUCUUGUAUAAAAAUUGUUUUAUUUUUCUUAGUCAUAACCUUGGUUUGUAUAGUAGUUUGUAUAAUAAAAAAAUUGUGAAUGGAUUAAAUUAUUUAUUUGAUAAACUGUUUUGUAAUGUGUAGGUUUGUAUUAGACUAUUAGUUAGUUAAUAUAUGAUAUACAACACGGACAUUUACGUGAUUCAACUUAAUCCUUAGUAAUAAAAACCAACAACACAAUAUAUUGAGUGAAUUAAAAUAUUUUCGUAUUUUUAUAUUAUAUAUUAAUAAUUGUCUGGAUGCUUUUAUUAAGAAUGGUUUAUUAGUUUCUAGAUUAGGUGUGCGCAACAUUUAUUAAACAUUCAAGUUACCUUUUGGAUAAUAUCUUAGAAAAUAAAGAAAAACCAUAGAUAGUGUAAAAAAUGAAUGAAAAACCUUGAAAAUUAAUGAAAAUAUCUAGGUACCUUUUAGAUAUUUGAGUAUAAAAGAUAUAGGAUAAUUAAAGAUAGUGUAAGAUCUUUAAUAUCUUUAGAUUUGGUUAGAUUAAUGUGUUUGUUAUUAUUAUUGUUAUGACAAAUGGUAUAUGUCAAUUUUAGUUGGAUCAUUAAAACUUAAUAAUAAUUUUGUAUACUCUCAAAAAUCAAUUGACAAAAAGUUAUUUUAAUAGAAUAGAUGUCCUUUAAAAUAUUUUUUUCGCUGAAUUUAUAUGUAGUCCAUCCAUUCCAUACCACAUAUUCUCGUGUAAUAAAUAAACUUUUGUGCGUCUGUCAAGCACAUAACUUUUCGUACUGAAAGCAUCUAAAAUGUAUACAUGUGUGGGUAACAGAGGUAGGUCUGUGAAUGUCACAUGAAGUAAAUGAGAAUAAUGAAGACACUUUUCUCUCUAAUCUCAUCUUCAUCAAAUCCAACAUAAUCAUGUCUUAAUAAUUCACCUAUCCGUCCUCUUUCUUUCCCUAUUAAUUUUCAUUUUGUAUUAGGUUAUUUGAAUUUCUCAACUAACCCUUUUGACUUUCUCAAUAUUUACUUUGACUUUUCUUUUUUUUUGAUCAAACCAUUUACUUUGACGUAAAUUAUCAUCGGUAUAGUGAUAAAAAUGAUAUACCGUAUGUGUUUACAUAUAUAUAAUAACAUACUUACAUUUCACUGUAACGGUUUUGUUAGUCAAUUUAAAUUAUGCUUAAAUCAUAUAAAUUUAAGAAAAAAAAUAUUUGACCUAAUUUGAUCCGAGAUACGUUCAACCAAACAUAUAGGAUCUUGAUCAUAAAUCGAUAAAAUAUAUGACUUUUCCAAUAUAUACCGUAAACAUAUGAGAGCAUCAUAACCCCAAAAUGUUUAAGUAUAUACUUGUAUCAAACAAACACACAAAAGGUCGUCAAAAUUGAUUUUAAUAUGACUUUAAUAUGUUUGUUCCUUUCAACAUUCUAUCUUUACAAAUUGCCUUUUCUUACUUUUACCACCUACAUUUCCACAAAUCUUUUCCUAAUAAUAUAUAUCUACCUCUUCCUUUCAUCAUUGCUUUCUUGUCUCCUUCUCUUUCACCUUUAUCUUGUUUAUAAAUUAUAGGCUUAUCAUCUCUCUUGUAAAAGUUAGGGUUCUUCUUAUGGUCUCCAUGUUCAUCUCUGAAGUUUUUUUCUUUUGAGGGGAAUGUUGUCUGGCACGAGGCCCUUAACACAGAUCUACGAUCGGUUAUAUAUAUAAUAUAUGAACGAUCAAUUUAGUGGUUGAUGACGUCGGACCAGGCUUCAUUCCCCUCAAUUACAUCGCUUCGAUCCAUCUUCUAGUCAUUUCCCGCUCAAGCUCUCGUGCAAACUCCUUUUGUCUGCCGACGACAAUGGUGAUGUGGUCUUUAUCAGGAAUGAUGUGGACAGUCGCACGUGGCACUCUGGUCUUGACGCUGUAGCUACACUCCACAGGAAUAACCUCGUCCUCGCCACCGUGGAAGAUGGUGACGUCACAGUCCACGUGGUCACGGACAUAGUCCAGAUAAGAAUCGAGCUUGCCUCCUGAUCCGAAUAUGAUAUUGUGUAAUGUGUGCCACGACCCGUUGUGUGUGUGACAUAAAAAUCCUUCUAUCAAAUACGUUCGCAUCCUGCAAAAGAGUUUAAUUUAGCUUAUUUAAAAUGUGUAGGUGUAUAUAUAUAUUUUUAUUUGUAGGUAUAUAUUGUUUAUGUAUAUGCUUACAUUUAGUGGAAGAAACUAUUCAUAUUAGUAUCAGAAAAACAUUAAAAUUUAUCAUAUAUUAUGAUGAUGCAAAAUUUAUCUUGUCUUCUGUCAAAAAAAAAUUAUCUUGUUAGAAAAUUUCAAAUGAGCUAAAAAAAUUAAAACUAUACUAAUUUUUUAAAAAGUUCAUCUAAAUAUUGUUUUAACAGAGCCAAACUAAUCUGGAUUUUAUAAAUUUAAAUUCUUUUUAACUUAAUAUUUUUUGUAUCUCAUUUUAUAUUGUAUAGUCUUUAUAAUACAUAUUUAUAGUACAAACUCAAAACGUAAGUUAAUGGGGCCAAAUAGUGGAGGCGACACGGUAAGUCGUUUCCUGUGGUAAGACAAAAAAAAUUUUUUUCUCUAAAAUACAUAAACCUAUUAGGUUGCAUUCUUGCAUUUCCUAAUAUGGCACCACAUAUUUUAUGUAAGAUUUACUAAAGUGAACCAUCAACUUCUUAUUAUUAGAAAUAUUGUAUAACAAUUACGAAACGUCAACUUCAAGAUAUUGAGUAUAUAUAAGAGUAGUAGACGAGUGGUUGGUUCACUAAAACUUAUAGACUUUAAGACAUUUCGGUGUUCCCCUAAUCUUAUGAACCGUGAACUUCGGGUCAAAUCUUGUUUACUUAAUUUUCAACAAAAAGAUUGUGGACGUACGUAAACCUUCGAUCGGUCGUCUGAUCAGUAAGACCAUAAUUAACCCAGUUUCUUAAUUUGAGUUCUUAGAUUCGGUUAAAAGAUGGUUUUUAGUUUUUUUUUUAAGAUUUUAAAUAAGAUAUAUAAGAGUUAUUUCUUAGCCGAAAAUUGUAAAACAAAAAAACAAAAAAUAUCAAAUCAUAAGUUAAGAAUUCCAGUUAAGAGACCGGGGUUAAUCAUAUCCUAAGGCUCUUCUUACACGUUUGCGAUUUUGUUUUUUUUUUCUUGUAAAUAUCAGAACAUAUCAAAACGCAAACGAAGUUUGACAAAAAAAAAUCUAAACGCAAACAUAAAGAUAAACAUAAA